Molecule: RNA transcript, 2601 nt
Organism: Brassica rapa (field mustard)
Lineage: Eukaryota; Viridiplantae; Streptophyta; Magnoliopsida; Brassicales; Brassicaceae
Gene name: uclacyanin-2
Source: RefSeq, a predicted model, not a curated record
GAAAAACAAACGGUACAAGAGAGAAAAACCACAGAAAUCGCCGUCGGAAUCGAGAGGCGGAGACCGUAGUUAGAUAGCUCAAACUCGCAACGUUAAUUAGUUGCUCUGCUUUGGCAUGAAUCCAUCUUUGUAGAUUUCAUGGAUGCACCUUAAGGACUACAAGAUUCAUGUGAACUAAGCUUGAUUCAAAAGAUGAGCAAUGAACAUUUCCUUCUUGAAUUCUGCUGUUUGGUGCCAUCGUCUUCAGGAGUUGCUCUUCUUAAGUGUAUCAAUAAAUCUUUGCUGUACACAGUCAUUGCUUGAGAUGUAGUCAAGAAAAUCGUUGAAACUAAACUCCCCAUAGGCUGGUGCAUUGUUUCCAACGAGCUCAGGUGCUGGACUUAUCCUCUUGUGCAGAGCUGAACUAUCAAAGCUCCUUCAAUAUACGGCACACUGAUCCAGUUUUUGUUGGAGUCCAUUAUCUGGAGUCCCUGGCUACUUUGAAGUAAGAUGGUCAGCGAGCCGAAGUCCGAGUGUGGUGGCAUUCCCAAGGUGAUUUCAGGUUCAGGACAUGCUGGGUAACAGUUCACUGCCAUGACUUGUGAGCCUUCUUCAGUUUGUUCUUCAUGGAGGAUUUGAUGGCCACAUAUCAAUCCACUUUGAUAGAGGAUAAGAGUAAUGUUUAAUGAAAUCUCUCCAAUAAUGAACUCUGUCUGUUGAAUGGUUGAGGCUUGUGCCAUAUCUUACUGGCUGAUGAACAUCUGCAGACACUAGAAGCAUCUUAUCUUCCACAGGUAAGUCAAAGAACUGUGUUGCUGCAUCUAAGGCAUCUCUAACCACUGAUGGUGGUAUCCCAUGGUUUAUAACCUGUAGAGAAAUAAAAGUUAGGGCUUAUAUCUUUUUUGUGUAAGAAUAAGUAAGAAAAACAUGCAUGCAUGCAAUUGGUUUUCUCAUUUAAGACUUAGAUUGAAGAUUUUGUCUUUUCUUUUCUAUCUUUCAUGAUUAAGGACUUUGUUCAUGACAUACAUGCAAGAAGACAACAACCGUCUUUCUAAGUCAUAUAACGUGUAAGAACAUCAAACUUGCUGAAUUUGUGAUAACGCAUAUAUAACUUAUUUACAUGUAACAAUUACCUGAAAGAAACCAAAUUCCUUGCAGGCCAUGUUGAUCUCUUGGAUAACGCUGGACCUAAGCAAAGGUUCGUGUAAAAGAGAGAGAUCAAUGAUAGGAAGUGUUAUCUCUCUGGUACCUAAGCUUGAACCAAGAGCUGGCCUUUGCGAUGGCGGAAGAACGUAACGGUCAGGCACUUGAGGCACACCUGAAUUGGUAAGUGUCAUUGCACUUUCAAAAGAAUCAUCAAGCAAACUCUUUAUUGUUUCCUCCAUGUUCAGUUUGCUUAGAGUAAAAAAGAAUGAUGUUAUUACUCUGACUUACUAAAGAGUAUGCAACAUGCAUAGCGUCUAUUUAUACAUGUAUUUUAUACGGUUAAAAUCUUCUAGAAGAUAAUUAUAUUUAAUUAUCCACUGAAAGUAACAUUUUAUUCUUUUCUUUUUCCUCAUUUGCUUACGAUUUUGGAAACCCACCUGCUGCUUCUCUCAUCAUCUCUACAUUAAAUGAAGUGAGAGAUGUCAAAUUCUGGAUGUCAAUUUAAAAGUAAAUUGCAUGUAGAGAUAUGUAUCUAUAAUAUGACGACUUAGAUUGCAUCUUUUUGCUUUUUUUAAAAAAAAAUUUGUUUAAUACAUAUGAGUCAUAUGGUGGAGUAUAGGCACACAAUAACCGGUUUUUCUUUGCAUGACCAGCUUGACAAUUCGUUUUGCAUGUGGUAUGUCUUCACUGAAUUUACCGCCUUUCAUAAAUGUUUGGGAUAUUUUGGUUUCUAUUUUUAAGAUGUGUGUGUGUGUGUGUGGGUGUGUGUGUUGACGUCAUUGAUGAGGGUGAAUAUCGGUCGAGAUACAUGGACCAAGACUAAAUAAGGAUGAUGUAGACUACAUCAUGUAGUAUAAUAUUAGAUUGAUAUAUAGGUAACUAAACUAAGGUUUUAGGUACAUGCAUGCCGAAAUGUAUCUGUACAAGAUCUAUGAGUUGGUUUUUCCUCAGGUCGAAGAAAGUAGCUAAAACAUACGUAAGUUGAGUUCCUGUAGCGUUGGAGGAGAGAGAGAGAGAGAGAGUAGUGACAGCAUUCCUCUCACUUGAUUCAAAACUCUAUUAAGUGCUUACGCAGUUUAUUCUUUUAAGUCGGCUAGAAAAGCCUAGUUAUGUGCCGUUAAGAGCCGCUCAUAAUCCAAGUUAUGUGUCAUUCAUAGGAGUACGUCAUGCAUGGUUGUCUCCUAAUCAUCUUUAGAACGUAAGCCACUGUUCUCCUAGUGAUCAUGUCCAUCGUCCCAGCAGCGGUCGCUGUGACAUACACGGUCGGAGACGUUAAUGGAUGGACCAGUGGUGUGGACUACACAGUUUGGCUUACCGGAAACACUUUCAGAGUUGGUGACAUUAUAGAGUUCAAGUACGGUCCUUCGCACUCGGUGGAUGUGACUAACAAAGCCGGAUACGAUGACUGUGAUAGCUCCGCAUCCACCGAGAAUCACUCCGACGGGGACACCAAAAUCGAACUCAAGACUGUAGGAA